This 1703-nucleotide long non-coding RNA is filed under the name Sus scrofa (pig). Its description in RNAcentral is "lncRNA (ENSSSCG00000059700.1)". The record is from RNAcentral. Lineage: Eukaryota; Metazoa; Chordata; Mammalia; Artiodactyla; Suidae.
GACGCGGAAGCGGCGCUGCCGGCGCGGCCCGGCCCGGCCCCUCGGGCUUCCGAGCCGCCCACCUGGCCGCCUGGGCCGGGGGCCCGCCGGGCCGGCACCUGCCCCGCCCGAACGAGGCGCGGAAAACCCGCGGCUUCCCUGCGCCCGGCAUCCGCUCCGCGACCGCAGCUCCUCCCCCGGCCUUGUCCAUGGCAUAUGAAAGUUCCUGGGCCAGGGAUCAAAACUGAGCAGGAGCUGCCUCCACCACAGCUGCAGCAACACUGGAUUCUUAAGUCACUGGAUCCUUAACCUGCCAGGGAUCAGACCUGCACCUCCACUGAGACAAACGAAUCACUAGCCCACUGCACCACAGCAGGAACUCGAAGGCAUAUUUUAAAAGUAACCGUCUCUGUGGAUCUCUCCAGGCGCCAGGCAAGAAAUAGAUUGAAUACAAUAGGAUGCUUGUGAGAGAUGCAAGCGGGCAGGACCAGAAGUAGUUUCUGCUUCUCCAUCCGGGGUGCAUCGAGAAGUUCGAGAGAAGCAAGUCGGCGGCCCACGGACCUCCUUGGGGGCUGCCCGGUUGUAAUCCGAAGCUGGCCCUGUGCUCAGAGGGCAGAGGAAAGGGGCAGAUGACUCCAGACCUACAAACCCGGAGCGGCAGGUUCCGAAGGGGAUUUGCCACAAGCCUUGUCUUAGGUGAAUCCAGCGCAGACGGACCCUGCCCCUGCCGGCAGAGGCUUCUGUGUUUAUGGAGAGGCCUUAGCUGGAUCCACUCGUGCACACAGUCUAUAGUCUCAUUGCCAUAUUAAUAUCUCAAGGCUUUAUCCUCGAGGCAGCUUCUGGAUGUAGAGGAAGCAAAUGGGGUGCAUGAUCUACGGACAGGGGAGGGGCGGGGGCGGGCAGCCUCCAAGUGCCAGGGUUCAGCUUGCAGGUCAAACCCUUGGGCACAUCUUCUCAGUGGCCCCCCCAGCACAAGUAUGGAUCCAUCUCCCAUCUCUGCAAGACCUCAAGUGGCUGCACAGAAGUGGUGAGAUUCUUUCUUUUUUUUUUUUUUUCACUUUUUAGGGCCACACUCGUGGCAUAUGGAAUUUCCUAAGCUAGGGGUCAAAUCAGAGCUACAGCUGCCAGCCACAGCCACAGCCACACCAGAUCCGAGCUACGUCUAUGACCGACACCACAGCUCACAGCAACACUGGAUCCUUAACCCACUGAGUGAGGCCAGGGGUCGAACCUGCAUCCUAAUGGAUCCUAUUCUGUAACUGUAACCACUGAGCCGUGAAGGGAACUCCCAAAAGUCAACAUCUUGCAUAGCUUGUUAUAUAACACAUUUUUAAAGGAAAUGUAAUGAGUGCUUAUUGCCAGAGUAAAUGAUAAUUUUUACUCUUUCUUUUCUAUUUCAAUGUAACAUACCGCCCAUGACACGUUAAAAUAAUCAUCAUUCCUUCCCCCCAAAUUUAAACCUAUUAAAUUAUUUUUUGAGAAAUUCUUAUCUAAAAUAUCUGCCAUUUUGCAGAACUCCUGCAGAUAUGAGUGAUUCGCUGUUUUAAUAAUUAGUGUGGGAAAAAAGAGGACACAUGGAGAAUUUUGAAAUAGUCCUGUUAUUGUUUACGGCAAUCUACAUGCAUGAAGAAAUAGCUAGUUUUAACCCAACAAAAUUACAAGUUCUAAAACUGACAGAACACUGUAAACCAACUAUAAUGGAAAAAAUAAAAAUCAUUUAAAAU